UUCCGUCAUUGACCUCUUCCCUCU
RNAcentral lists this non-coding RNA (24 nucleotides) under Arabidopsis thaliana (thale cress). The record is from RNAcentral. Lineage: Eukaryota; Viridiplantae; Streptophyta; Magnoliopsida; Brassicales; Brassicaceae.